CCUACGGGGGGCAGCAGUGGGGAAUAUUGGGCAAUGGGCGCAAGCCUGACCCAGCAACGCCGCGUGAAGGAAGAAGGCUUUCGGGUUGUAAAGUUCUUUUGUCAGGGACGAAGCAAGUGACGGUACCUGACGAAUAAGCCACGGCUAACUACGUGCCAGCAGCCGCGAUAAUACGUAGGUGGCAAGCGUUACCGGGUGUACUGGGUGUAAAGGGGGGGUAGGCGGGAUUGCAAGUCAGAUGGGAAAACCACGGGCUCAACCUGUGGCCUGCAUUUGAAACUGUAGUUCUUGAGUACUGGAGAGGCAGCCGGAAUUCCUAGUGUAGCGGUGAAAUGCGUAGAUAUUAGGAGGAACACCAGUGGCGAAGGCGGUCUGCUGGACAGCAACUGACGCUGAGGCGCGAAAGCGUGGGGAGCAAACAGGAUUAGAUACCCCUGUAGUC
This 442-nucleotide ribosomal RNA is filed under the name uncultured bacterium. Its description in RNAcentral is "partial 16S ribosomal RNA". It matches the Rfam family "Bacterial small subunit ribosomal RNA", at positions 338 to 795 of the family's 1533-position model. The record is from RNAcentral.